CUCCCGGAACACCAUAGACAGCGGCCGCAGCCAGCUAGAGCGCCCCCGCGGCGCCGAUGACGUGUACGAGGCAGCGGAGGAUGCCGGGACAGUGGCGGAGCAGUGACGGGGGCGGUCGGGCGGACAGUAGCUGGCGGCCGAGGUGUGUGGCGGGUGACGCACGGAGGCCGAGGCAGCGUCCCCGCGAGCUGACAGGCUUCCCCCACGGCAGGCAGCCGGCCCGGGGCCGUGGGGACGCGAGGUUUUGAAACGUGGUUGCCUUCAGAGGAACAAAACCACAACCAGGGUUUCUGUUCUUCGUAGGAACCACCUGGGAAUAGCAAAAUUCGGUUCUUCUGAAGAAAGGGAGUCUGUCUGACUGGUGUGAGGCAACUGAGGAACAUUCUGUGGUAAUGAGUCCAACAACUCACUUCGACGACUA
Harpia harpyja (harpy eagle) is the source of this 421-nucleotide long non-coding RNA. RefSeq lists it as uncharacterized. Lineage: Eukaryota; Metazoa; Chordata; Aves; Accipitriformes; Accipitridae. The record is from RefSeq and is a predicted model, not a curated record. The transcript is spliced from 3 exons.